GAAAUGGCUGCUAAUACCGCAUAAGCCUACAGCCUCGCAUGAGGGAGCAGGAGAAGAAAUUCGGUGCAGGAUGAGUCCGCGUCUGAUUAGCUAGUUGGAGGGGUAAAAGCCCACCAAGGCAACGAUCAGUAGCCGGCCUGAGAGGGCGACCGGCCACAUUGGGACUGAGACACGGCCCAAACUCCUACGGGAGGCAGCAGUGGGGAAUAUUGCACAAUGGGGGAAACCCUGAUGCAGCGACGCCGCGUGAGCGAGGAAGUAUUUCGGUAUGUAAAGCUCUAUCAGCAGGGACGAAAAAAGACGGUACCUGACUAAGAAGCCCCGGCUAACUACGUGCCAGCAGCCGCGGUAAUACGUAGGGGGCAAGCGUUAUCCGGAUUUACUGGGUGUAAAGGGAGCGUAGACGGCAAGGCAAGCCAGAAGUGAAAGGGCAGGGCUCAACCCUGUACAUGCUUUUGGAACUGUGGUGCUAGAGUGCAGGAGAGGUAAGUGGAAUUCCUAGUGUAGCGGUGGAAUGCGUAGAUAUUAGGAGGAACACCAGUGGCGAAGGCGGCUUACUGGACUGUAACUGACGUUGAGGCUCGAAAGCGUGGGGAGCAAACAGGAUUAGAUACCCUGGUAGUCC
RNAcentral lists this ribosomal RNA (625 nucleotides) under uncultured bacterium. Its description in RNAcentral is "bacterial SSU rRNA". It matches the Rfam family "Bacterial small subunit ribosomal RNA", at positions 153 to 796 of the family's 1533-position model. The record is from RNAcentral.